CUGCAACACAUCUGAACAGUGCCUGGACUGGAAGCUGCUGCAACACAUCUGAAACGUGCCUGGACUGGAAGCUGCUGCAACACAUCUGAACAGUGCCUGGACUGGAAGCUGCUGCAACACAUCUGAACAGUGCCUGGACUGGAAGCUGCUGCAACACAUCUGAAACGUGCCUGGACUGGAAGCUGCUGCAACACAUCUGAACAGUGCCUGGACUGGAAGCUGCUGCAACACAUCUGAACAGUGCCUGGACUGGAAGCUGCUGCAACACAUCUGAACAGUGCCUGGACUGGAAGCUGCUGCAACACAUCUGAACAGUGCCUGGACUGGAAGCUGCUGCAACACAUCUGAACAGUGCCUGGAUGAAACAUACACCUUUAAUGGAGUGAUAUGCAGUGGGAAGCAGCAGAAGAUAACUUUAAUUAAGACUAUAUAAGCUGUGAGCUCCAGUGUCCUAGUCUCCUUCUGACAUCAUGGAAACAAUCAACACCAGCCUCCUUGCUUCGUCUGACCAACCAGACCCAUCCUGUUUCCUCUAAUGAAAAGCCUUUUAGAACCUCAGCUCUGGGUCACUUCCUGCCUUAUGUUCCAAAGUGGCGCAGCGGUCUAAGGUGCUGCAUCUCAGUGCUUGAAGCGUCACUACAGACACCCUGGUUCGAUUCCAGGCCGUAUCACAACCGGCCGUGAUUGGGAGUCCCAUAGAGCGGUGCACAAUCGUCCGGGUUUGGCCGGUGUAAGCCUUCAUUGUAAAUAAGAAUUUGUUCAUAACUGACAUGCCUAGUUAAAUAAAGGUUAAAUUAAAAACAACAACAAAAAUUAUUAUGAGAAAACCCCAUGAAGGAGGUGGAGAAUGCUUACUGUUCAUCCAAUGACCAAAUACUGUAAAACAAAACAGAACUAUCAUACAAAAACAAAACAAGCAAACAAACAUAGAGGUAACAUAGAGGUAACAUAGAGGUACCAUAGAGGUACCAUAGAGAUAACAUAGACAUACCAUAGAGGUACCAUACUGGCAGGUAUUACAUUGAAAUGUAUCAUUUAAGAUUUGUGACCUGUUGCUACAAGAAAAGAGCAACCAGUGAAGAACAAACACCAUUGUAAACGCAACCCAUAUUUAUGUUUAUUUAUUUUCCCUUUUGUACUUUAACUAUUUGCACAUCCUUACAACACUGUAUAUAGACAAAUGUCUUUAUUAUUUUGGAACUUUUGUGAGUGUAAUGUGUACUGAUCCGUUUUUUACUGUUUAUUUCACUUUUGUUGCUUUGGCAAUGUAAACAUAUGUUUCCCAUGCAAAUAAAGCCCUUUGAAUAUAAUUGAAUUGAAUUGCGAGGACUGGAGAGAGAAGGGAGGGAGGGAGAGAGACCAUUUGGCACUUGGAUCCCCUCAUUGUCAUCAGUGCCACCCUGGGGACUCCAGCCCACACCUGGCACCCCCUCUCUUCUCCUCCCUCCCACCCUGCUGGCACCCCCUCUCUUCUCCUCCCUCCC
RNAcentral lists this long non-coding RNA (1484 nucleotides) under Salmo salar (Atlantic salmon). RNAcentral describes it as "lncRNA (ENSSSAG00000119786.1)". Lineage: Eukaryota; Metazoa; Chordata; Actinopteri; Salmoniformes; Salmonidae. The record is from RNAcentral.